Long non-coding RNA from Esox lucius (northern pike), 661 nucleotides. The record is from Ensembl. Lineage: Eukaryota; Metazoa; Chordata; Actinopteri; Esociformes; Esocidae.
CCCUAUUUCAGGACACCAGAAUAAAUGUCACUUUUUUGACCAGAAUAAUAUACAUGUCUGUCUGAGUCCAUUGGGGGGCUGAAUAGACACAUGAAUAGAAUAGAAACCUGUGGAGUUUGUUGAGCAGCACCGGCACUUUGCUUGGAUUAGAUUAAAUAAACAUAGAGGUCUUUGGUCAUGUGACGUAAACGUAGCGCUCUUAGGUCAUUUGAUGUGCACGCCGAGGUCUUUGGUCAUGUGACGUAAACGUAGCGCUCUUAGGUCAUGUGAUGUGCACGCCGAGGUCUUUGGUCAUGUGACGUAAACGUAGCGCUCUUAGGUCAUGUGAUGUGCACGCCGAGGUCUUUGGUCAUGUGAAGCGAACAUAGACCAUCUUUGGUCAAAUGACAUGAAGUGUCAGGAACGACUCGUCUGUAAAAACAAGCUAUGGACCAUUCCUUUAAUGAAACCUGUCAUUUCGCUGGCAGGGAUCAGGCUUCUGGCUGGUCAAAAUGUGUUGCAGACACAUAGUCACACCCCAUUUAAGAAACAUAGUUCAUCUAAAUGCUAUGGCAGUGCUGGACACAUGCACAGACACACACACUAACACAUUGACUGGGUGACCCUCCUGUGUAAUACAAUAUAGGGAGUAUUAAUAAAGUUCAGCUGCCUCACGUUCCAU